UUCCAUCCCUCCUUCCCUCCGGUCCCUCAGCCGCUCCGCAUCCCCUCGGCCGCGCCGCUCCCGCAUCCCUCCGGCCGCGCCCCUCCCGGCCCUUACCUCCCCGGGGGCGCAGGGAGGGGCGGCCGGCGGCCCCGAGCUCGGCGGGACGGCCCCGAAACAAAAAGCGAAAGCGGCGGCCGCUGCCUCCCGCUCUGCCGGGCUGUCGAGCUCUGCCCGCGGCUGACGUCAAGGGCCCAAAUUCCUGCCUUUCCCUGCAGGCAGAUUUGUCCAUCUGUUCGGUAUCUGCACCUGCCCUGAAGAGAACUGGAAGACAGAAGGGUUACAUUGUGUUCAGGCUGCGGAGGGGAGCAUUUCCAAGCCUUAUUCAUUUGGAAAGAGAUUUCUGGGUGAGUUUGUAGGCACUUCAAAUGUAUUUCAUUUUUAAAAUAAAGGACUCUGGUGUGUGCUUUCA
RNAcentral lists this long non-coding RNA (451 nucleotides) under Parus major (Great Tit). Its description in RNAcentral is "lncRNA (ENSPMJG00000019574.1)". The record is from RNAcentral. Lineage: Eukaryota; Metazoa; Chordata; Aves; Passeriformes; Paridae.